This 253-nucleotide ribosomal RNA is filed under the name uncultured bacterium. RNAcentral describes it as "partial 16S ribosomal RNA". It matches the Rfam family "Bacterial small subunit ribosomal RNA", at positions 524 to 776 of the family's 1533-position model. The record is from RNAcentral.
UACGGGGGGGGCAAGCGUUGUUCGGAAUUACUGGGCGUAAAGGGCCAGUAGGCGGCCAACUAAGUCGGAUGUGAAAUCCCCGGGCUCAACCUGGGAACUGCAUUUGUGACUGCAUCGCUGGAGUGCGGCAGAGGGGGAUGGAAUUCCGCGUGUAGCAGUGAAAUGCGUAGAUAUGCGGAGGAACACCGAUGGCGAAGGCAAUCCCCUGGGCCCGCACUGACGCUCAUGCACGAAAGCGUGGGGAGCAAACAGG